UGGGGAAUAUUGCACAAUGGGGAAGACCCUGAUGCAGCAACGCCGCGUGAAGGAUGAAGGUUUUCGGAUCGUAAACUUCUAUCAACAGGGACGAAACAAAUGACGGUACCUGAAUAAGAAGCCCCGGCUAACUACGUGCCAGCAGCCGCGGUAAUACGUAGGGGGCAAGCGUUAUCCGGAAUUACUGGGUGUAAAGGGAGCGUAGGCGGCACGUCAAGCCAGAUGUGAAAGCCCGGGGGCUUAACCCCGUGGAUUGCAUUUGGAACUGGCGAGCUAGAGUACAGGAGAGGAAAGCGGAAUUCCUAGUGUAGCGGUGAAAUGCGUAGAUAUUAGGAAGAACACCAGUGGCGAAGGCGGCUUUCUGGACUGAAACUGACGCUGAGGCUCGAAAGCGUGGGGAGCAAACAGGAUUAGAUACCC
Molecule: ribosomal RNA, 420 nt
Filed under: uncultured bacterium
Lineage: Bacteria
Description: bacterial SSU rRNA
Rfam family: Bacterial small subunit ribosomal RNA
Source: RNAcentral